RNAcentral lists this unclassified non-coding RNA (208 nucleotides) under uncultured Sebacinaceae. RNAcentral's name for it is "sequence contains ITS2". RNAcentral also lists the same sequence under 1 other name. The record is from RNAcentral. Lineage: Eukaryota; Fungi; Basidiomycota; Agaricomycetes; Sebacinales; Sebacinaceae.
GUACUCUCACACUCUCCGAUCCUUUGGAUUUGGGGAGCGGUGGACUUGGGUGCUUGCUGCUUUUGUUGUGGCUCACCUUAAAUGCGUUAGUGCACCUCCUGGUUGGACAUAGUACGGCGUGAUAAGUGUCUUCGCCGGCGCCUCUUAUCAAGAGGGUGGCCGAUUGGGAGCUCUGUGCUUUCAAACCGUCUUCGGACACUAUCUGACA